RNAcentral lists this long non-coding RNA (455 nucleotides) under Gossypium barbadense (sea-island cotton). RNAcentral's name for it is "long non-coding RNA (GBAR_LNC012963)". Lineage: Eukaryota; Viridiplantae; Streptophyta; Magnoliopsida; Malvales; Malvaceae. The record is from RNAcentral.
UUCAAACUUAAGUUCCACUUAUAUUUUAUAUGGGCCUAAUUUUUUUACUCAAAACUAAUUUUUCAAGCCUAAUAUUUUUAUCCAAACCCCUCAUAUUUCAGGUGAACGUUUGGAUUUAGACAAAUAACCCAACCCAUAAACAAGUCUAAAUAGUAGUUGUAGAGCCCAAUUUUAGCCCGGGCCAAAAACAAAACCAAAUAAAAAACAAAGUCCAAAAUAACUAAAUUAGUCCAAAAUUACAGCCCAAAUUAAAUACCCAAACUAAAGACCUAGGCCCAAAAUCCUAGCCCACCUAGCACUAACCCACAACCAGUAAAAACAGAAAACCCUAGGUGCGCCGCACCUAGGUUGGUUGCCCACCCCUCCAUCGAGCGCCGCACGCCCCAUGCACGACCCCCAGCUCGCGUGUUGCACACCCCACGUCCGUGCAUUCCUCCUCCACAUCUUCACGAUAC